RNAcentral lists this ribosomal RNA (445 nucleotides) under uncultured soil bacterium. Its description in RNAcentral is "bacterial SSU rRNA". It matches the Rfam family "Bacterial small subunit ribosomal RNA", at positions 26 to 473 of the family's 1533-position model. The record is from RNAcentral.
AGAUUGAACGCUGGCGGCAUGCCUUACACAUGCAAGUCGAACGGCAGCACGGGGGCAACCCUGGUGGCGAGUGGCGAACGGGUGAGUAAUAUAUCGGAACGUGCCCUGGAGUGGGGGAUAGCUCGGCGAAAGCCGGAUUAAUACCGCAUACGAUCUAUGGAUGAAAGUGGGGGAUCGCAAGACCUCAUGCUCCUGGAGCGGCCGAUAUCUGAUUAGCUAGUUGUAGGGUAAAAGCCUACCAAGGCGACGAUCAGUAGCUGGUCUGAGAGGACGACCAGCCACACUGGAACUGAGACACGGUCCAGACUCCUACGGGAGGCAGCAGUGGGGAAUUUGGACAAUGGGGGACAACCCUGAUCCAGCAAUGCCGCGUGUGUGAAGAGGCCUUCGGUUGUAAAGCAUUUUCGGACGGGAACGUAAACCGGUUCGGACUAACUACCGUGAC